CCUACGGGAGGCAGCAGUGGGGAAUAUUGGACAAUGGGCGCAAGCCUGAUCCAGCGACGCCGCGUGAGUGAUGAAGGCCUUCGGGUUGUAAAGCUCUGUUGAGGGAGAAGAAAACAGCCGGCGCAAAUAGCUCCGGCUCUUGACGGUAUCCCUUUAGAAAGCACCGGCUAACUCUGUGCCAGCAGCCGCGGUAAGACAGAGGGUGCAAACGUUGCUCGGAAUUACUGGGCGUAAAGCGCGUGUAGGCGGACUGGUAAGUCGGACGUGAAAUCCCUGGGCUCAACCCAGGAACUGCAUCCGAAACUAUCAGUCUUGAGUGGUGGAGAGGGAAGCAGAAUUCCUGGUGUAGAGGUGAAAUUCGUAGAUAUCAGGAGGAACACCGGUGGCGAAGGCGGCUUCCUGGACACUAACUGACGCUGAGACGCGAAAGCGUGGGGAGC
RNAcentral lists this ribosomal RNA (440 nucleotides) under uncultured bacterium. RNAcentral's name for it is "bacterial SSU rRNA". It matches the Rfam family "Bacterial small subunit ribosomal RNA", at positions 338 to 769 of the family's 1533-position model. The record is from RNAcentral.